Molecule: unclassified non-coding RNA, 1195 nt
Filed under: Leishmania donovani
Lineage: Eukaryota; Euglenozoa; Kinetoplastea; Trypanosomatida; Trypanosomatidae
Description: gene:LdHU3.13.1310(CDS-product:Dynein_light_chain _Tctex-type_putative)
Source: RNAcentral
AACCCCGUGGUGAAGCGCUCACCAUCGUUAUCAUCCAUCACCAAGCCCCGCCCCGCCCUCCUUGCUCUCAAGCCACCAUGGCGGACUACGAGCCCGAGGACAACCUCGAACAGAACAGCACCUUGAGCAGUGAAAGCAUCCAAGAGGAUAUAAGCAACUUGUUGCGCACAAAACUAGCGGGCGAACAGUGGAACCCCGCCAAGGUAGAUGGCUGGGUAGAGGACAUUGUGAACUCGAUCCUGACGGAGCUCGCGGAGCUCAAGAAACCGUACAAGUACAUUGUCACGUGCGUGUUCAUGCAGCGCACCGGUGCCGCGCUUUCUGUCGGGUUCAUUAGCCUCUGGGACAAUACAAAGGACGGCAUGGUGCACGUCCCCUUCGAGAACGACUCGUUUCACUGCUUGGUGACGGUGUACUUCUUGAAGAACGACUAGGCUGCGUCGGCGUCGACGUUGCCGCCAUGCAGCGGGGGGGAACACAGGAGAGGUGGCGGUAGUGCGGCAAAAGGUGUAAGGGUGAAGCAAGGUGGAAUGAGUGAAUAGAGGGAGGGAGGAGACUGGCAGGAGAGUGUUGGCGCACGGCGGGCGUGCAUCCCGUGCGCGUUGAGCACGUAUGCGACGCACUGUUCUCGUCGCUGCUUUUUUUCUUUUCCUACUCUCUUCCCCUCCAGCCGCCGCCACCGCCACCCUCGACCUCCUUACCGCUCCCUCUCCUCGCCGCUCGCUCGUGAUGCCCUUCGUCCUUGGUGCCGCUGUCGGUGUACUUGUGCAUAUGCAUGUGUGCGUGUGUUGUGCUGUGUCUGUAUGCUGGCGUUGUCGUCGAUGUAAACCAGAAGCUGCGAGAAAGGGAGGGGUGGGGUGUGGGAAGGCAGAGGGUCCCACAUCAAAGAAGGAACGAAAACAACGCGCACCCCUUUCCCACUUCUCUCCUCCCCCUCUCCUCCGAUGAGCUGUGCCAUCCUUGUUUGGUACCCACGCAGCAAAAAGGGUGAGGGGGCGGUGUUUGGUGUGUUUAGGGGGAGAGGGGGUAUUGAUUGACUGCUCCUCGCGUGUCUUUGCGUGCCUGUGCGUCAUGUAUCUGAGAGUAUCCCAGAAGUACGGGAUGAGCCAUAGAGCCAACACAAUAAAGCGCCUCGCACGCCUUUUCGUCGCCUCACCUGCACCUUCUACAAGUUGAGCACCGCUUCAUCCCAUCC